This 492-nucleotide ribosomal RNA is filed under the name uncultured bacterium. Its description in RNAcentral is "partial 16S ribosomal RNA". It matches the Rfam family "Bacterial small subunit ribosomal RNA", at positions 29 to 507 of the family's 1533-position model. The record is from RNAcentral.
AGUGAACGCUGGCGGUAGGCCUAACACAUGCAAGUCGAACGGCAGCACAGUAAGAGCUUGCUCUUACGGGUGGCGAAUGGCGGACGUGUGAGGAAUACAUCGGAAUCUACUUUUUCGGGGGGGAUAACGUAGGGAAACUUACGCUAAUACAGCAUACGACCUACCGGUGAAAGCGGGGGAUCUUCGGACCUUGCGCGGUUGAAUGAGCCGAUGUGGGAGUAGCUAGUGGGCGGGGUAAAGGCCCACCAAGGCGACGAUCCGUAGCUGGUCUGAGAGGAUGGUCGCCCGCACGGGAACGUAGACAGGCUCCAGACUACUACGGGACGCAGCAGUCGGGAAUGUUGGACAAUGGGCGCAAGCCUGAUACAGCCAGACCGCGUGGGAGAAGACGGCGUUGGGGGUGUAAAGCCCGUUUGCUGGGAAAGAAAAGCAGUCGGUUAUGACGCAGCGGUUCUGACGGUAACCAAUGAAUAAGCACCGGCUAACUACGUG